GUGAGGAAUAUUGCGCAAUGGAGGCAACCCUGACGCAGCCAUGCCGCGUGCAGGAAGAAGGCGCUACGCGUUGUAAACUGCUUUUAACCGGGAAGAAACCCCAGGACGUGUCCUGGGUUGACGGUACCGGAGGAAUAAGCACCGGCUAACUUCGUGCCAGCAGCCGCGGUAAUACGAAGGGUGCAAGCGUUAUCCGGAUUCAUUGGGUUUAAAGGGUGCGUAGGCGGAGCGUUAAGUAAGUGGUGAAAUCCUGCAGCUUAACUGUAGACUUGCCAUUGAUACUGGCGCUCUUGAGUGCGCUUGAAGUGGGCGGAAUGUGCCGUGUAGCGGUGAAAUGCUUAGAUAUGGCACAGAACACCAAUUGCGAAGGCAGCUCACUAAGGCGAUACUGACGCUGAGGCACGAAAGCGUGGGGAUCGAACAGGAUUAGAUACCCUUGUAGUCC
This 445-nucleotide ribosomal RNA is filed under the name uncultured bacterium. RNAcentral describes it as "partial 16S ribosomal RNA". It matches the Rfam family "Bacterial small subunit ribosomal RNA", at positions 354 to 796 of the family's 1533-position model. The record is from RNAcentral.